RNAcentral lists this ribosomal RNA (305 nucleotides) under uncultured bacterium. RNAcentral describes it as "partial 16S ribosomal RNA". The record is from RNAcentral.
ACGUGACAAACCGCCUACGAGCUCUUUACGCCNAAUAAUUCCGGACAACGCUUGCACCCUACGUAUUACCGCGGCUGCUGGCACGUANUUAGCCGGUGCUUUUUCUGCAGGUACCGUCACUUGCGCUUCUUCCCUGCUAAAGAGGUUUACAACCCGAAGGCCGUCGUCCCUCACGCGGCGUUGCUGCAUCAGGCUUGCGCCCAUUGNGNANUAUUCCCCACUGCUGCCUCCCGUAGGAGAAUCACGAAUUUCUGGAUCCGAUACGUUAACGCGNCUGCAGCAUGCGUGGUACCGAACUUUCCCUA